AUUGAACGCUGGCGGCAGGCCUAACAGCAUGCAAGUCGAGCGGAAACGAGUUAUCUGAACCUUCGGGGAACGAUAACGGCGUCGAGCGGCGGACGGGUGAGUAAUGCCUGGGAAAUUGCCCUGAUGUGGGGGAUAACCAUUGGAAACGAUGGCUAAUACCGCAUAAUGCCUUCGGGCCAAAGAGGGGGACCUUCGGGCCUCUCGCGUCAGGAUAUGCCCAGGUGGGAUUAGCUAGUUGGUGAGGUAAUGGCUCACCAAGGCGACGAUCCCUAGCUGGUCUGAGAGGAUGAUCAGCCACACUGGAACUGAGACACGGUCCAGACUCCUAAGGGAGGCAGCAGUGGGGAAUAUUGCACAAUGGGCGCAAGCCUGAUGCAGCCAUGCCGCGUGUAUGAAGAAGGCCUUCGGGUUGUAAAGUACUUUCAGCAGUGAGGAAGGUGGUGUCGUUAAUAGCGGCAUCACUUGACGUUAGCUGCAGAAGAAGCACCGGCUAACUCCGUGCCAGCAGCCGCGGUAAUACGGAGGGUGCGAGCGUUAAUCGGAAUUACUGGGCGUAAAGCGCAUGCAGGUGGUUCGUUAAGUCAGAUGUGAAAGCCCGGGGCUCAACCUCGGAAUAGCAUUUGAAACUGGCGGACUAGAGUACUGUAGAGGGGGGUAGAAUUUCAGGUGUAGCGGUGAAAUGCGUAGAGAUCUGAAGGAAUACCGGUGGCGAAGGCGGCCCCCUGGACAGAUACUGACACACAGAUGCGAAAGCGUGGGG
RNAcentral lists this ribosomal RNA (760 nucleotides) under uncultured Vibrio sp. RNAcentral describes it as "bacterial SSU rRNA". It matches the Rfam family "Bacterial small subunit ribosomal RNA", at positions 28 to 766 of the family's 1533-position model. Lineage: Bacteria; Pseudomonadati; Pseudomonadota; Gammaproteobacteria; Vibrionales; Vibrionaceae. The record is from RNAcentral.